RNAcentral lists this unclassified non-coding RNA (346 nucleotides) under soil metagenome. RNAcentral's name for it is "partial contains 5.8S ribosomal RNA, internal transcribed spacer 2, and large subunit ribosomal RNA". The stretch from base 1 to 120 matches the Rfam family "5.8S ribosomal RNA", at positions 35 to 154 of the family's 154-position model. The record is from RNAcentral.
GAUGAAGAACGCAGCGAAAUGCGAUACGUAAUGUGAAUUGCAGAAUUCAGUGAAUCAUCGAAUCUUUGAACGCACAUUGCGCCCUCUGGUAUUCCGGGGGGCAUGCCUGUUCGAGCGUCAUUGCUGCCCUCAAGCCCGGCUUGUGUGUUGGGUCUCGUCCCCCUUCCCGGGGGGACGGGCCCGAAAGGCAGCGGCGGCACCGUGUCCGGUCCUCGAGCGUAUGGGGCUUUGUCACCCGCUCUGUAGGCCCGGCCGGCGCUUGCCGAUCAACCAAAACUUUUUUCCAGGUUGACCUCGGAUCAGGUAGGGAUACCCGCUGAACUUAAGCAUAUCAAUAAGCGGAGGA